RNAcentral lists this ribosomal RNA (467 nucleotides) under uncultured bacterium. RNAcentral describes it as "partial 16S ribosomal RNA". It matches the Rfam family "Bacterial small subunit ribosomal RNA", at positions 28 to 506 of the family's 1533-position model. The record is from RNAcentral.
GACGAACGCUGGCGGCGUGCUUAACACAUGCCAGUCGAACGGAAAGGCCCUGCUUUUGUGGGGUGCUCGAGUGGCGAACGGGUGAGUAACACGUGAGUAACCUGCCCUUGACUUUGGGAUAACUUCAGGAAACUGGGGCUAAUACCGGAUAGGAGCUCCUGCUGCAUGGUGGGGGUUGGAAAGUUUCGGCGGUUGGGGAUGGACUCGCGGCUUAUCAGCUUGUUGGUGGGGUAGUGGCUUACCAAGGCUUUGACGGGUAGCCGGCCUGAGAGGGUGACCGGCACAUUGGGGCUGGGGAUACGGCCCAGACCCCUCCGGGGGGAAGGGGGGGGGAAUAUUGCACAAGGGGCGGAAGCCUGAUGCAGAAACCCCGGGGGGGGGAAGGCGGCCUUGGGGUUGUAAACCGCUUUCGCCUGGGACGAAGGGGGAGUGCCGGUAAUGGGUAAAAAAGCACCGGCAAAUUCCGU